Transfer RNA from Acidothermus cellulolyticus 11B, 85 nucleotides. It matches the Rfam family "tRNA". From Rfam's summary of the family: Transfer RNA (tRNA) molecules are approximately 80 nucleotides in length. NCBI's taxonomy places the organism in Bacteria, Bacillati, Actinomycetota, Actinomycetes, Acidothermales, Acidothermaceae. The record is from Rfam.
GGAGGCGUCGCCUAGCGGCCGAUGGCGCCGGUCUUGAAAACCGGUAGGGCGCAAGCCCUCGUGGGUUCAAAUCCCACCGCCUCCG